This 624-nucleotide long non-coding RNA is filed under the name Fukomys damarensis (Damara mole-rat). RNAcentral's name for it is "lncRNA (ENSFDAG00000023012.1)". Lineage: Eukaryota; Metazoa; Chordata; Mammalia; Rodentia; Bathyergidae. The record is from RNAcentral.
GUCUUUUUGGUCCAACAUUAUUGGAGGCCCCAGGAAGAUAUCAGAUCUUGAAGACAAACUGAGGGUGACUUGCCUCACUCCUGGGCCACCCCAGGUCAAGAUAGGCUGGGGAGGCCUCCCUGUUGUCUUGUUUAGGGCCUGGAGAGAUUGCCACUCAUGGAAUGGGAUCUGAGGAGGCCCUCAACGGACUGAGAUAAGUUUGUCAGGAAGAUUCCUCUAGAGGAGGAAUCAGAAGAGGAAGAAGAGGAGUCACGGGACGGUAUGACGGAGGCACCCGCGUUGUGCUGUUGUCUUAAACAGGAUGAGGCUAAAGAGAGAAAACAAGACCAGAAGGCCUCAGUAUGUUGAGAAGGUGUGCAAAAGGUCACCGAUGAGUUGUUCUCCAGUUACCGGAUCUGCGAAAGACCCCCUGUCUGAGGCUGAUUUUUUCCUGAUGGAUGGGAGCAGCUUCAUGGAAAAUGAGGCACACUAUGCUGGCUAUGCAGUGACAACUCAAGAUGAAAUGGUCCAAGCAGGACCCUCCCCAGCACACGGUCAGCUCAGUGAGCAGAGCUAUGGACACUCAAACAGGCUCUACCAUGGGCGAAAAACGACAACAACAAAAAAAUAAAAACAAAAAUAGGG